RNAcentral lists this ribosomal RNA (459 nucleotides) under uncultured bacterium. RNAcentral's name for it is "partial 16S ribosomal RNA". It matches the Rfam family "Bacterial small subunit ribosomal RNA", at positions 28 to 523 of the family's 1533-position model. The record is from RNAcentral.
GAUGAACGCUGGCGGCGUGCCUAAUACAUGCAAGUUGAGCGGUAAGGCCUCUUCGGAGGUACACGAGCGGCGGACGGCUGAGUAACACGUAGGAACGUACCCCAAAGUGAGGAAUAAGCACCAGAAAUGGUGUCUAAUACCGCACGUGCUCUCAGGAGUAAAGCUUCGGCGCUUUGGGAACGGCCUGCGCAUGAUUAGCUUGUUGGUGAGGUAAAAGCUCACCAAGGCGACGAUCAUUAGCUGGUCUGAGAGGAUGAUCAGCCAGACUGGGACUGAGACACGGCCCAGACUCCUACGGGAGGCAGCAGUAGGGAAUUUUCCACAAUGGGCGAAAGCCUGAUGGAGCAACGCCGCGUGCAGGAUGAAUGCCUUCGGGUUGUAAACUGCUUUUAUAUGUGACGAUUAUGACGGUAGCAUAUGAAUAAGGAUCGGCUAACUCCGUGCCAGCCGCCGCAGUAA